This 208-nucleotide long non-coding RNA is filed under the name Lathyrus oleraceus (garden pea). RNAcentral describes it as "Pisum sativum (pea) long non-coding RNA (PSAT_LNC036874)". The record is from RNAcentral. Lineage: Eukaryota; Viridiplantae; Streptophyta; Magnoliopsida; Fabales; Fabaceae.
GAAACUAGAAUUAAAAAGAGAAAUAAUGCAAUUGGUCCCAUAUUUUUUGGACCAAUAAUAAAAGAGAUAUAAAUUUUUGAAAUAAAAGGAAAUAAAGAAAAUAAAAUCAGAAAUUAGAAAAUAGCAAAAAUCAGGAAGCAUUGGAUGGAUCCUCAUUAAUUAACGUGGAGGAUCUAAUGGUCAUGGCAUGCGCGCGCACCAAAGUCCU